GAAGCAGGGAUCCCAGGUAUACUAGUUGGAGUUUCUGUAGACGGAAAGGAAGUCUGGUCAGAAGGUUUGGGUUAUGCUGAUGUAGAGAACCGUGUGGUAUGUAAGCCAGAGACGAUCAUGCGAAUUGCUAGUAUUAGCAAGUGUCUUACAAUGAUGGCUGUUGCUAAAUUGUGGGAAGAGGGGAAACUGGAUUUAGAUGCUCCAGUGCAGAAAUACGUCCCUGAAUUUCCAGAAAAAGUGUACGAGGGUGAAAAGGUCACUAUUACAACAAGACUGUUAGUUUCACACUUGAGUGGGAUUCGUCACUAUGAAAAAGAUAUUACAAAAGUAAAGGAAGAAAAGGAAAAGGCAAACAGAGCAUUUAAACUAACAAAACCCUAUCAGGAUAAAGAACAAAAAGAAAAAGAAGGCAAAGAGAUUGAAAAGACUGAUUCUGUGAAACUGAGGAAAGAACACAAAGGUGAGGUAAAAAGCCGAAAUUCAAAACCUGGCAGGAGAGACAAGGAAUUUGAGCAAGAAGAGUAUUAUUUGAAGGAAAAAUUUGAAAGUGUGAUUGAAUCACUGAAGAUAUUUAAAAAUGAUCCUUUGUUCUUUAAACCAGGUAGUCAGUUCUUGUAUUCAACGUAUGGCUUUACUCUCUUAAGUGCUGUUGUGGAGAGAGUUUCAGGACAAAAAUUUACAGAUUACAUGCUAAAAAUGUUUCGUGAUUUGGAUAUGCUAUCGACUGUACUAGAUGACAAUGAAGCAAUGAUAUAUAACAGAGCAAGGUGUUACGUUUACAACAAAAAGGGACGGCUGGUAAAUGCACCGUAUGUGGACAACUCUUACAAGUGGGCUGGUGGUGGUUUUCUGUCGUCAGUAGGUGACCUUCUGAAAUUUGGAAAUGCCUUGUUAUACAGUUAUCAAGCUGGACAGUUUAAAAACACUAAUGGCAAACUUCUUCCUGGGUACCUCAAACCAGACACAGUUGCAAUGAUGUGGACCCCAGUGCCAAAAACGGAAGUAUCAUGGGACAGGGAUGGUAAAUAUGCAAUGGCUUGGGCUGUAGUAGAGAAAAACCAACAAUAUGGCUGUUGCAGACGGCAGAGACGCUAUGCAUCUCAUACGGGUGGUGCAGUGGGGGCGAGUAGUGUCCUCCUGAUUCUCCCUGAAGAGCUGGACUCUGAAACUAUAGCUACUGGGCUAGUGGCACCACCUAGAGGAGUAAUUGUUAGUAUUAUCUGCAAUAUGCAAUCAGUUUCACUCAACAGCACUGCCUUAAAGAUUGCAAGGGAAUUUGAUAAAGAAAAAUGGGUAAAUACAUAGAUUAAAAAGAUACGUGUAACUGAACUCACUGUAUUGAAACAAAAAACAAAUGGAGAAGGGUGGAAUUUGACUCUGUGGUCACUAAGAAUACGUGAAGAAAAAGCAUAAAAAAUUCACUUAAUUAACUUCUGCUAGUGGUGCUAAACUUAUGUGGAACUGGAAUUCAUCUCUCAGGGAAGUUCCUAACUUACAGAAAAGGAGAAUGUAACAGUCAAAUUUGACUUCCUGUAAUACCUGUGUAAAUUAUCAUUGUAUUAGGGGUUCUUUUUCCUCAUCCAGUCAAACACUUGACCAAGGUUAAAAAAACUAGCAUUGGUUUCUUGCACUGAGAAGUAUAACAACAAAUUAUCUACCUUAAAUGUUAAACUUCCAAAAAAAUUUCUCAUCUUGAUUUGAGCACACAAAGAUGUAAUUUGUUAUUCUCACAGUCUGCCAAAACUCUUCAGUAUUACUUUUUAAAGAAAAAAUGGUUUUACUGUUGAUUUCUCUAUUUUCAUGUAGCGCUUUUCUUAUUUGCUUAAAAAGCAAAAAAACCCUGACAAAACCCAAAUCUUGCAAGCUACCUCCAAAAUGCAGAUUUAUACCAGGAGUAUGCUUUUGUCAGAGCUGUGGAUUAUUAAGAGUUAGAAAAGAAUGAAACUAGAGUAAUGUAAGUAAAAAAUCUAUUUGUUAUUUAGAUGUCCUCUCUCCCAUUUUUAUUGCGCACAGGGAAUGUGUGAAACUAGUUUACUGUGAAAUAAGGGUAUUACUUCCACAGAUGAAUAUGCCCGAACAGCACAACAUGUUUUGAGCACAUGCUAGCUGGGUAAACAUGCAGCAGCAGAAGUCAUUGCCCAUUUUACACAGGGAACAAGAGUAAGUAGUUCUGAGGUGUUUUCAUGUUGAAGAAUACAUGAAUAGAAAUAGACCAAAUACUAUGUUUUAAAUACAGAAAAUCUGAAAAGUAACUGUUAUUUUAGGAUUUAUAACAUACUUUUAUGAUGCAUCUGUUUUGCAAAUGGUAUUUAUUGUUUUUGAAAGCCAUUUUGCAUACUUGAGAGAAAAUCAGUUUCACUCACUGACUACUAUGUUUGGGUUUAGACAAAGACUGAGAAUGUAGGCGUAGGUUUACCAUUAUGCUUGUCUGCCUAUGACUGAACACUAGUAAAUGUAAAUAUUUGAAGUAUGUAUGAAAGUGCAUAAUGGUAAGAAGUGUCUAAGGCAUUUCUAACACCAAGGUAUUAAUGACAGUGCCUCACUCCCCUUAUAGAGUAUGUUUAGUCACCAACUUCUUACGUGCAUACCAUGUUCUUUAUACUGUAUCUCCUGUAACUUAAGGAUUUUUAAAACAACUCUGUUGUUACAUGUAGAGUAUUGGAGAUACUAUGAUGUCUAAAAUUAAUCUUCCAGUACCUGGAACAAAAUAGGUCACUGACAUUUUCUGAUUUGGUAUUUACUUAGUCAUGAAUUGUUAUCUUCCAGAGCAGAGGAAGAAAAGGCAGAGAUAUGGGAGACUAGGAAUCAGUCUGGCCUUAGCACAUGUAUUCAGGUCACAAGUGAAUUAAUAUUGCUACUUCGAUCUUUGUUCUGUAACCAGUUACUUGAUGGACUGGCAUUAAGUGUGGGAAACUGGUCAAUUAAGAGCAGGUUUCAUUAUAAGCUUGCUCUUAAAUUAACCUUUAUUGUGAAAAUGCAGUAUGGCACUGACAUAAAACUGUACUUUUCUUAAAAGGCAUGUAUACUAAGUUGGUGCAUCUAUUUCUGUAUCAAACACCUACUUUUUGC
Molecule: RNA transcript, 3069 nt
Organism: Egretta garzetta (little egret)
Lineage: Eukaryota; Metazoa; Chordata; Aves; Pelecaniformes; Ardeidae
Gene: LACTB
Gene name: lactamase beta
Exons: 6
Source: RefSeq, a predicted model, not a curated record